This 274-nucleotide ribosomal RNA is filed under the name uncultured bacterium. RNAcentral's name for it is "partial 16S ribosomal RNA". It matches the Rfam family "Bacterial small subunit ribosomal RNA", at positions 523 to 796 of the family's 1533-position model. The record is from RNAcentral.
AGACGGAGGGCGCAAGCGUUGUUCGGAAUCACUGGGCAUAAAGAGUACGUAGGCGGUCUGCUAAGUCAGAUGUGAAAGCCCUGGGCUUAACCCGGGAACUGCAUUUGAUACUGGCAGACUUGAGGACAGCAGGGGUGAGUGGAACUUCAGGUGGAACGGUGAAAUGUGUAGAUAUCUGAAGGAACACCGGUGGCGAAAGCGGCUCACUGGGCUGUCUCUGACGCUGAGGUACGAAAGCUAGGGUAGCGAACGGGAUUAGAAACCCCUGUAGUCC